Molecule: long non-coding RNA, 676 nt
Organism: Solanum tuberosum (potato)
Lineage: Eukaryota; Viridiplantae; Streptophyta; Magnoliopsida; Solanales; Solanaceae
Exons: 2
Source: RefSeq, a predicted model, not a curated record
CUAAAAAUCUUUGCAUUCCAUAUCCCUUGUGGUCAUCCGAAAGGAAGGCGUCGUCUUUGCCUUUCCGUCAUCAGUUGCCGUGUGUUUUUGAAAGCUCCUUUAUUUCCAUGGAAAACAACACAUUCACUAUGUGCUGAUUCAAAUCAACUCCUCAGAGGUUCUCUUUUAUGAACGAACAAAAAGGGGCCAUUUUCUUAUUUGUGCUAAAGUUAAACAUGGAGGUUCAAUUUAGAAUAGAGGGAGGAGUAAAACAACAUUUUAUAUAUUUUUCUACCAAAAGUUUCUACAUCGGGUAUUUGUCUUUUCAAUUAGAAUUUUAAUAGCAGAGGUAGUUAGUUUUUCUUUCUUUUCACUGGGAUUCAAGAGUUUGUGUAUGAAUUGUUCAAUGUCUAGGUAGGAAAGAAUUAUGAGCUUUCAACUUUUCUUGAAUUCCUGCCGAGACUAGCCAUCUAAUAGCCACUUAUGGGCUGCACAUGUUUCUACCCAAACUUAAAAGGGUUGCUGGUUAUGACCUCUUAUGGAUGUGAAUAGUAUGAUAUAUUUUGUGUAAAUUAAUAUAUUCAUGGAGGUACCGUGUUAUAGCUAUAAUAUUAAUGGUGGUACUUAUGAUACUGGGAUAGUGAAUGUACGAGAGCACCAACUCAGUACCACUACAUUUUAUUUUGAUGGUUCCCUA